GGACCCGCACAAGUAGUGGAGCAUGUGGUUUAAUUCGAAGAUACGCGCAGAACCUUACCAACACUUGACAUGUUCGUCGCGACUUUAAGAGAUUAAAGUUUUCGGUUCGGCCGGACGAAACACAGGUGCUGCAUGGCUGUCGUCAGCUCGUGUCGUGAGAUGUUGGUUAAGUCCCGCAACGAGCGCAACCCUCACUUUUAGUUGCCAUCAUUUAGUUGGGCACUCUGAAAGAACUGCCAGUGAUAAGCUGGAGGAAGGUGGGGAUGACGUCAAGUCCUCAUGGCCCUUACGUGUUGGGCUACACACGUGCUACAAUGGUAUCUACAACAGGAAGCAAAACUGCGAAGUUAGCAAAA
This 356-nucleotide ribosomal RNA is filed under the name uncultured bacterium. RNAcentral describes it as "bacterial SSU rRNA". It matches the Rfam family "Bacterial small subunit ribosomal RNA", at positions 917 to 1272 of the family's 1533-position model. The record is from RNAcentral.